UUGAUGAUUGAUUUUAGUUCCUAAACUUGUCUAGGUCACACCCCGCAAGGGUUACUCCUGGGCCAUUAGCUCAGGUGGUUAGAGCGCACCCCUGAUAAGGGUGAGGUCCCUGGUUCAAGUCCAGGAUGGCCCAUUCGGUGUUGGGGGUUUAGCUCAGUUGGUAGAGCGCCUGCUUUGCAAGCAGGAUGUCAGCGGUUCGAGUCCGCUAACCUCCACUGACUGAUCUCCUACAACGAGCCAAUGGUGAGAACCGUUGUGUGAUGUGAUUUAGAAUUUAAGUUUGCUGGAAGACCCUAGCUUCUUAUCAUUCCAGGCCUCAAUCAAUUGAGGUUAGGUUGAUAGGAUGCUGGGCUCACUGUAAUUCGCAAGAAUUGCAGAGAUGUUCAGCAGAACCUUGACAACUGCAUAGGUAGGUCUGGAAAGAAUAAAGCAUCUCAUGGAUGCAUGAUUCUUUGGAAUCAGCUAAUGCAAUCUGCGUCAGUAGAGAGCUGAGGUUGAGGAACGAGAAUUAUGUUUGAUUCUUGAGUCAAGAGCCGAGACUCUAUAGCGUUCUUUCGAUGUCAUCGAGGCAUCGAGAGUUUGAUUGGUCAUUCAAACCAUCUUCAAUGACAAACAAUUCAGUUUAACUGGAGAAGUUUGAGAUUGAAGCCAGGUGAAUUGCUAAGAAUACGUAUUCAACUACGUGAAGCGUUAUAGAGAUUAAUUGGUCAAGCUACAA
This 718-nucleotide transfer RNA is filed under the name uncultured Prochlorococcus sp. RNAcentral describes it as "partial 16S-23S ribosomal RNA intergenic spacer; may also contain 16S ribosomal RNA and 23S ribosomal RNA". The stretch from base 143 to 215 matches the Rfam family "tRNA". The record is from RNAcentral. Lineage: Bacteria; Bacillati; Cyanobacteriota; Cyanophyceae; Synechococcales; Prochlorococcaceae.